Molecule: long non-coding RNA, 1375 nt
Organism: Crotalus tigris (Tiger rattlesnake)
Lineage: Eukaryota; Metazoa; Chordata; Lepidosauria; Squamata; Viperidae
Exons: 3
Source: RefSeq, a predicted model, not a curated record
UUGCUGUGUGUGAAAUCGUGGCAGCCUGCCCUUUCAAGGUUGCUUAAUUAUUUUUCUUUUGUGACUUGCUGUGCCAUUCAGAUUAUACUUAGCAACAGAGGGAAAGGAAACAAGGCUUCACAGCAGAUUGUAUUACCAAUUAAUUGAACGUCCUGUGAAAUAAACAUUGUGGCUCGGAUGGGAUUAGAACGUGAGGAAUUUGUGGGCCUUUUCCCACCUCUUGAGCUGAAGCGAGCCCUUCCAAGGCUAUUCCUCAAUCCUCAGUCCUGAUGCCUUGAAGGCAUCGUGGAAUGGGAAAAUUGAGGUAUAGGAAGAAAGGAGAAUGCCUGAAGAUUGACAGGAGAUAUCUUCCCAGCACAUAAUGGAGAGUGAAGCAAGAAUGAGCAAAUGCUUUCAUUUUAUCUGAUUGUUCUGUGGUUUCACAUUUCAUAAAAGGUGUAAAUCCGUCUCCAGGCUGCCACACCUUUACACGAGUUUACAGUUUCAAAGUAGUUGUAUUUUCUUUCAAAGAGUACUAUUUAAAAAUAUUUAUUUCAAAAUUAAAUUAAAACUCUGAAUUAAUUUUUAUAAUAAUGAUGAUCAUACAAUUGUGCUGCAACUUUUGGAAAAGGAAGAACAAAAAUCCAAGUGGUAAGUAUAUGCUAGGUUACACUUAAUUCACAAGAUUUAGGCUUAAUUCAUAUUAGACUUUAUGAAAAUGGCAUGUUUCAUAUUGGGUUAUUAUUUUUUGGUGUUUUUCAUUCAACAAUUUCUAAAUUUAAUUAUAAUCAGUAUCUUCAUAAAUGCUGCUAUAUUUUUGCUUUACAUCAUUUUAUUUAUUACAAAUAGCACUGGCACACACUGGCAUAUAUGCAUCUUGAUUCAACCACAGCAUAUAAAGAAUUUUGAUUUUAUUGCAUAUUUCUUUGUUUGCAUUUUUUUUAUCUCCAUGUAUGUGCACAGUGCACAUCAAUUGUCUGCAAGAAAGGAAAAUAAGACUCAAGCUAAAACUGAGCCUAAUUCUGUGUGCUCAGUGACUUGAACAAAACCCUAAAAUCAAUACAUGGAAGAAAAAGGCAAGCAUGUUGAUGAUACCUCAAAAUCACAAUCUAAUAAUUCAGAGCCUUAUCAUACAAAGGAAAAAUAAAAGAAACUGAGUAUUAUUAUCACCAGAAUUAUCUGCAGGCCUUACAUGGACCCUGAUAUUAUUUGUGACCCUUUCCCCAGAACUGUGGAAUUCUGUAAAAUUAAGACUUGUCCAUAAUUUUAUAUUCUCCAUAAAAAAUUCAACCAUAUUUGCUGAAUAGUCAAGAAAAAGUGGUUUGUUCUUCUAUGUGUGUAAUAUGCACUUGAACUUCAAUAUAAGAGCCUAAAUUAUUGUUACAUGAAAAUAAAU